UAGGGAAUAUUGGACAAUGGGCGGAAGCCUGAUGCAGCAACGCCGCGUGAGGGACGAAGGCCUUCGGGUCGUAAACCUCUUUUCUGAGGGAAGAGACAAGGACGGUACCUCAGGAAUAAGUCUCGGCUAACUACGUGCCAGCAGCCGCGGUAAAACGUAGGAGGCGAGCGUUAUCCGGAAUUACUGGGCGUAAAGGGCAUGCAGGCGGCUUGGUAAGUUGGACGUGAAAGCUCCUGGCUUAACUGGGAGAGUGCGUUCGAAACUGCUGAGCUUGAGGCUGGGAGAGGGGUGUGGAAUUCCCGGUGUAGUGGUGGAAUGCGUAGAUAUCGGGAGGAACACCAGUGGCGGAAGCGGCACCCUAGACCAGACCUGACGCUGAUAUGCGAAAGCGUGGGGAGCAAACA
Molecule: ribosomal RNA, 404 nt
Filed under: uncultured prokaryote
Description: bacterial SSU rRNA
Rfam family: Bacterial small subunit ribosomal RNA
Source: RNAcentral